GAUGAAGAACGUAGCGAAAUGCGAUAAGUAAUGCGAAUUGCAGAAUCCGUGAAUCAUCGAAUCUUUGAACGCACAUUGCGCCCUGUGGUAUUCCGCAGGGCAUGCCUGUUCGAGCGUCAUUGACACCCUCAAGCUCUGCUUGGUCUUGGGCGUUUGUGCCUGCCGUUGCGCAGGGACUCGCCUCAAACUCAUUGGCAGCCUGCCUUUGCCGGUCUUUGCACAGCACAGUCGUGCCAAAGCCGCGGUGAGCAGGCGCUCCACAAGCCCUUUUCAGCUUGACCUCGGAUCAGGUAGGAAUACCCGCUGAACUUAAGCAUAUCAAUAAGCGGAGGA
Molecule: unclassified non-coding RNA, 333 nt
Filed under: soil metagenome
Description: partial contains 5.8S ribosomal RNA, internal transcribed spacer 2, and large subunit ribosomal RNA
Rfam family: 5.8S ribosomal RNA (bases 1-119)
Source: RNAcentral